This is a non-coding RNA of Anolis sagrei ordinatus, 277 nucleotides long. The record is from RefSeq and is a predicted model, not a curated record. NCBI's taxonomy places the organism in Eukaryota, Metazoa, Chordata, Lepidosauria, Squamata, Anolidae.
UUGCUUAAUUCCCUUUUCUGUAAUGUACUGAGCUGUAUCUGUGAUGCAUAUACAAGCAGUUUCGUUUUUUGUCACAGAGCUGAAGCCCAUACUCAACAAAAUCCCUAUUUUUCAAAUUGUGUCAGAAUUGACUGCUUUUGAGUAACAUAUCAUUAUUGGCUUAGACUUCUUCUGGUACAAAUGCGUAGUGGUUUCGUGAUCCUGUUAAAGCAACUGUUCAGCAUUUCUUCACUGACCAUGGCUACUUCAAAUGCAUUAAGAUGGCAGAUGAAUGCAG